Molecule: ribosomal RNA, 254 nt
Filed under: uncultured bacterium
Lineage: Bacteria
Description: partial 16S ribosomal RNA
Rfam family: Bacterial small subunit ribosomal RNA
Source: RNAcentral
UACAGAGGGUGCGAGCGUUGUCCGGAAUCACUGGGCGUAAAGGGCGCGUAGGCGGCCUGAUAAGUAGGGGGGUGAAAUCCUGUGGCUUAACUGCAGGGCUGCCUCCUAGACUGUUAGGCUCGAGCACGGUAGAGGCAGAUGGAAUUCCCGGUGUAGCGGUGGAAUGCGUAGAGAUCGGGAAGAACAUCGGUGGCGAAGGCGGUCUGCUGGGCCGUUGCUGACGCUGAGGCGCGACAGCGUGGGGAGCGAACAGG